AUGGUCUUGCUAUCACUAAGAGAUGGUCCCGCGGUGUAUUAGUUAGUUGGUGAGGUAAUGGCUCACCAAGACAAUGAUACAUAGCCGAGUUGAGAGACUGACCGGCCACAAUGGGACUGAGACACGGCCCAUACUCCUACGGGAGGCAGCAGUAGGGAAUCUUCCACAAUGGACGAAAGUCUGAUGGAGCAACGCCGCGUGUGUGAUGAAGGGUUUCGGCUCGUAAAACACUGUUGUAAGAGAAGAAUGACAUUGAGAGUAACUGUUCAAUGUGUGACGGUAUCUUACCAGAAAGGAACGGCUAAAUACGUG
Molecule: ribosomal RNA, 312 nt
Filed under: uncultured bacterium
Lineage: Bacteria
Description: bacterial SSU rRNA
Rfam family: Bacterial small subunit ribosomal RNA
Source: RNAcentral